Ribosomal RNA from Bos mutus (wild yak), 128 nucleotides. The record is from Ensembl. NCBI's taxonomy places the organism in Eukaryota, Metazoa, Chordata, Mammalia, Artiodactyla, Bovidae.
AGCUGAACCACCCUGAACACGCCCAAUCUCAUCUGAUUUCAGAAGCUAAGCAGGGUCAGGGCCUGGUUAGUACUUGGAUGGAAGAAGCCUAUCAUUUAAAAGAAAAAAAAAAAAUCAAAUUUCAGUUU